Molecule: ribosomal RNA, 709 nt
Filed under: uncultured anaerobic ammonium-oxidizing bacterium
Lineage: Bacteria
Description: bacterial SSU rRNA
Rfam family: Bacterial small subunit ribosomal RNA
Source: RNAcentral
GAGCACGUAGGUGGGUUUGUUAAGUCAAAUGUGAAAUACACUGGCUCAACCAGUGGACUGCGUUUGAAACUGGCAGACUUGAGUAUAGGAGAGGAGAGUGGAAUUCCUGGUGUAGCGGUGAAAUGCGUAGAUAUCAGGAAGAACAUCGAUGGCGAAGGCAGCUCUCUGGCCUAAAACUGACGCUGAGGCACGAAAGCGUGGGGAGCAAACAGGAUUAGAUACCCUGGUAGUCCACGCCGUAAACGAUGGAUACUAGGUGUGGGGGGUUCGAUUCCCUCUGUGCCGGAGUUAACGCAAUAAGUAUCCCGCCUGGGGAGUACGGUCGCAAGAUUGAAACUCAAAGGAAUUGACGGGGGCCCGCACAAGCGGUGGAGCAUGUGGUUUAAUUCGAUGCAACGCGAAGAACCUUACCAAGGCUUGACAUCCCAUGACUACCUAUGAAAGUAGGGUUGCCCUUCGGGGCCAUGGAGACAGGUAGUGCAUGGUUGUCGUCAGCUCGUGUCGUGAGAUGUUGGGUUAAGUCCCGCAACGAGCGCAACCCUUAUCCUUAGUUGCCAGCAUUAAGUUGGGGACUCUAAGGAGACUGCCGGUGAUAAACCGGAGGAAGGUGGGGAUGACGUCAAAUCAUCAUGCCCUUUAUGCCUUGGGCUACACACGUGCUACAAUGGGUUGUACAGAGGGCAGCGAAGCCGAGAGGUGAAGCGAAUCC